CCUACGGGUGGCAGCAGUGAGGAAUAUUGGUCAAUGGGCGCGAGCCUGAACCAGCCAAGUCGCGUGAGGGAAGACGGUCCUAUGGAUUGUAAACCUCUUUUGUCGGGGAGCAAACGACACCACGCGUGGCGUUCCGAGAGUACCCUAAGAACAAGCAUCGGCUAACUCCGUGCCAGCAGCCGCGGUAAUCCGGAGGAUGCGAGCGUUAUCCGGAUUGAUUGGGUUGAAGGGGUGCGCAGGAGGAAGAUCAAGUCAGCGGUAAAAUUGAGAGGCUCAACCUCUUCGAGCCGUUGAAACUGGUUGUCUUGAGUGAGUGAGAAGUAGGUGGAAUGCGUGGUGUAGCGGUGAAAUGCAUAGAUAUCACGAAGAACUCCGAUUGCGAAGGCAGCAUACCGGAGCGCAACUGACGCUCAUGCACGAAAGUGUGGGUAUCGAACAGGAUUAGAUACCCGGGUAGUC
This 459-nucleotide ribosomal RNA is filed under the name uncultured bacterium. RNAcentral describes it as "partial 16S ribosomal RNA". It matches the Rfam family "Bacterial small subunit ribosomal RNA", at positions 338 to 795 of the family's 1533-position model. The record is from RNAcentral.